Molecule: ribosomal RNA, 425 nt
Filed under: uncultured bacterium
Lineage: Bacteria
Description: bacterial SSU rRNA
Rfam family: Bacterial small subunit ribosomal RNA
Source: RNAcentral
GGGGAAUAUUGGACAAUGGGGGGAACCCUGAUCCAGCGAUGCCGCGUGUGUGAAGAAGGCCUGCGGGUUGUAAAGCACUUUCAGUGGGAAAGAGAAGCGUCUUGUGAAUAAUGGGACGUGGAGACGUUACUCACAGAAGAAGCACCGGCUAACUCUGUGCCAGCAGCCGCGGUAAUACAGAGGGUGCGAGCGUUAAUCGGAGUAACUGGGCGUAAAGGGCACGUAGGCGGUUAUAUGAGUCUGAUGUGAAAGACCUGGACUUAACCUGGGAUGUGCAUUGGAAACGGUAUAGCUAGAGUUUGGGAGAGGGAAGUGGAAUUUCCGGUGUAGCGGUGAAAUGCGUAGAGAUCGGAAAGAACACUCGUGGCGAAGGCGGCUUUCUGGCCCAAAACUGACGCUGAGGUGCGAAAGCGUGGGGAGCAAAC